UACGGAGGGCGCAAGAGUUGUUCGGAAUCAUUGGGCGUAAAGCGCGUGUAGGCGGUCUGGUCAGUCGGGUGUGAAAUACCGGAGCUCAACUCCGGAACUGCAUUCGAUACUGCCAGGCUAGAGUCCCUGAGAGGGUGGUGGAAUUCCUGGUGUAGAUGUGAAAUUCGUAGAUAUCGGGAGGAACCCCAGCGGCGAAGGCGGCCAACUGGACGGUGACUGACGCUGAGACGCGAAAUCGUGGGGAGCAAACAGG
RNAcentral lists this ribosomal RNA (253 nucleotides) under uncultured bacterium. RNAcentral describes it as "partial 16S ribosomal RNA". It matches the Rfam family "Bacterial small subunit ribosomal RNA", at positions 524 to 776 of the family's 1533-position model. The record is from RNAcentral.